Molecule: long non-coding RNA, 26217 nt
Filed under: Triticum aestivum (bread wheat)
Lineage: Eukaryota; Viridiplantae; Streptophyta; Magnoliopsida; Poales; Poaceae
Description: long non-coding RNA (TAES_LNC017997)
Source: RNAcentral
AAAAAAAGAGUGGAAGAAGAUAGAUUCCCGACGACCGAGAAGGAGCAAGGAACCUCGUGGUGGAGCGUCUGCACUCAUAAUAUUUUAUAUUAUUCAGCGAUAUAAAAUCAACCAAUCAUCUCCACAGUAGACCGGAAGAGUAUGAAACAUGGCAGCCAAGUGUAUUUACAUCAUACAUGGCCAACCCACGCUAUCAUCGUAUUUCUUGGCCUCCGUGCGACACCUAGCUCUAGUAAUCCACCAGCCCGUAUCGCUUCUCGCUCCUCAUCUCUCUCAAAGUGCGGCGGGCUGGCGUUUUUGCCGUCUAUUGAGGUCGGUUAACUCAUCACAUGAUAGAGACUCUUGGGUGGGAUAGUUUUUUUGGUUGGUUUGGUGCAACUUGCUCCAAUUUGACCCUCAUGUUUGGAUACUUUAGGGCUAUUUGAGCCCCAACUAGCUCAAACUAACUCUAACCCAUGGAUCCAAGCAGGGCCAAAGUUAGUCUCGGAAAACGCAUUAAGCCCUAUAUACAUGGACAGACGGAGUACAUGAUACUAGCAAACGCUCACCAUUAGUAGUAGUUCGUUGGUUGGUUUCGAUUUUUGAUUCAGUUGCUGUGCUGCUACCAUCCAAUAUUCGCGUGUGGUUGUUUCUAGAAUAAAAAUAAAGGAGGCAGUACUUACUUUGGGAAAUGUGAAGUGAUGGUUGCUUGGCCCAAGCAACUUAUUACUCUGGGAAUAUGGGAGUACCAGUGGAUUCAACCGAAAGAGAAAUGAUGGUUGCGUCGUCCGAGCAACUUAUUGUGGUGAAGGUGGGGCUCUGUGAUUUGACUGCUCACUAGUCAUUACUACUGCGGCACAAAGACCGGGGUGAAUCUUUUCCUGCAGUUGUGCACUCAAUAUUGCUGCAUGGCAGGUGGAGCCGGAUGAAGGAUGUCCCACAUGUCGGCGUAACGAAGUUGAAUUGUUUCUGGCAUUGCUAUCAAUCCUUCAGGAUUUGUUUAUAUGUACGCAUAAUUUUAAUGAAAUUGUACUGUGAUGCUAUGAAGGUUUCAACUUUGGUUCCCGCAGGAAAAAAAAGGUUUCAACUUAGGAUUCAUGUGUCCUCUUGCCUCAAGAUUAUCUUGUUACAACAUUCCAUCAAAUACAAAUGAAACUACCAUGGCUGCUAAUGCAUCUCAAUGGUUCGCAGAUCAGCGCCAAUAUUCACAUCACAACUGAAGACAAAGUUGUGAGAAGGUGUACAAAUAAAGAAAAUAUAUAAUUGAUCGAUGUUGUUCGUAGGCAUGGCUCCAAUUCCUGGGCACAGUGUUCAUUGGUUGACAACUAGUUUCACCCAGCCCUGUAGCCAAAAAAGAGGUGUAUGGAGGACAUCACAAUCCGAGCAUUUUGUGCAGCUCCACUAAAAUCGAGCUGACCAUCCAUGUUUGCAAAGAUAUCCAGUCAGCGUGAUUACAAUAAUAGUGGAACUAGAUGAUGAAACAUAACACACACAAAUAGAAGCCGAUCACCUCUGUGAUCUCUCUUUAGGGCUAACUACUUGUUGGAGAAUAUUAGGCAUGGAUUUGGAUGAGGAGGAUAGAAAAACCAAUCUCCCUUUCUGCAGUCCCACAGAAAUGUAAAAACGUUGCCCGUGUGACAUUUCGGCGGAACUGCACAAAACACUCUUAAGAAAAAAGUGAUUUGUGCAGUUCACCAAAAGGUCGCAAUAGCAACGAGGUGAAAUGGAUAGCCCUGUUUGCAAAAGGAGGUAGAAAGGAAACAAUUACUGCCCAAUAACACGAGUUGAAGACACAUACGCCGACAAAAAAGAAGCAUAUUCCAUGUAAUAAGGGACAGAUAGCAGCAUGGUGGUUUAUCAAAAAUGGUUUGAGGACGAGAUUGCAAGAUGGAAAGUACACCGGCCGAGAUACGUUUUAAGCAAACAACUAAAGAAGAUCCACAUGCAGCAUUUUCCACAUGCAGCAACGUGGGAAGAUGGGCAAUGGAGCAAGGCCGGAGGAAGCUGUUGUACCUGAGGGUCAUCGGGAUGUAACUAGGAGGGCGCCAGCGGCCGGGAUCUGCCCAUACUGCGGCAGCCAGCAAGUGGCGAAGGCCCUACCGUGCCGGAGUUGGUAAGAGAGAACGAUGGGUACUGUCGGAUUACGGGUUCCGCAAACCCUUGAAAGGUUUGAAUUCUGGGGUGCGUGCGGAGAUCUCAACCUCCCAGCCUGCCUACUCGCGAUCCUCCUAAGCCUAGCGCGUCGAGCUAGAAGAGACAAAGAGACACAAAAAUUUAUCCUGGUUCGGGCCACCUUGCGGUGUAAUACCCUACUCCAGCGUUUUGGUGGAUUGCCUCGGAGGGCUGAGGAUGAACUAUUACAGUGGAUGAACUGCCUCAGGAGGUGAGGUGUUCUUGAGCUCAAGAGAUCUGGUGGGAUGUGGACUAGAUCAGAUGUGAUCCGAUCCCCCUCUAUGGUGGUGUCUAAGUCCUAUUUAUAGUGGCCUUGGUCCUCUUGCCAAAUGUUGCCGGGAAGGGAUCCCACAAUGUCCGGAUUUGAAAGGGGACAAGUAGUACAACUUAUACUAACAAAAGUGGUCUUCGCCUGCGAAAAGCCCCUGGUCGUGACGCUGCGGUGGGCUCGGUGAUGACCUCCGUCCUGCCGUCCUGGUGGUCUUGGUCUUGUUGCACUAGAAUGGAAACCUUUGGAUGAUUCCUCGGGACUCCAUGCCUGUGGCUUGCCUCCCUUGCACCAAAUAGGAAACUGGCGCUCUGCACCCGCUGGCGCCCACCUGGCCUUGGUCGUCAUGGCUCACGUCAGCUGAGCCUCGUGAGGUGCACCUUGCAUAGAACUCUCCGCCCCUCGGGAGCCAGCCUGAAGAGGCCGAUCCCCUCGGGGGUCUUGGCGUCGUCCGCCUUGCGAGGCUUGGCCCCUCGCGAGGGUCUUGAGCUGUUGAUGUCGAAGCUGGGCCGUACCAAGCCGCAGAUGGAGCCACACGGUGGGCCGCAGGCAGGCAAGUCUGGAUACCCCCAAAUCCAGAACGCCGACAGUAGCCCCCGGGCCCAAGGCGCGCUCGGACUUGGCUUCCAGGCGAAGCCAAAGGGCAAGUGUGGAGCACCGCGGGCCCUAACCACCUGCGGCCUGAUGACGCGUGGCGAUUGAUGGGACGUGGGCGUCUCCACUUCCCCAUGCUGCCUCGGCAACUGUUCGACUUGACAGAACAAUGCGGCAUGCAGAAGAUCAGCAUGGCGCGAGGUCGUGGAGGCUGGCGGUUGGCCUUCCUUGGCUAUAAAUGUGGGGGAGGGGCAGAGCCCCCCACUCAUCUCUCCUUCGUCUUACUGCCGCCCGCUUCUUCUCCUUCUUCGUCUUGCUUCCAUGGCGUCACCGAGGAGGUUUUUGGCGGCCGAGAAGGGGAAAGCUUCCAAGGAGGGACCGGCCUCUCCGCCUCCGAAGAGAGGCGCGGCCGUCCCCGUAAGCACCCUGCGGCCCCCGCAGCGGCCCCUAGGGGCGCGGGUGCACACCCCCCAGAGCCGGCGUUUCUCUUGGUGCCCGCGAUGGCACCUCUUCUCGCGGCGGGGGCCACCGGCUUCGGAGCAGCCCCCAUGACGAGGGGAGGCGCGUCGUGAUCGUGCACCUGCCUUGGCCGCGCUUCUCCUUGCUGGACGUGCUCCCUGAGUUUGUGGUGUGGUCGGAGAGCCCGGCCGGCACCUCGCUCCGGCUUGUGUGUUUCUUCUCCGACGAGCUUCCAUCCUCGGGGCUCGAUGGUCUCUGGCUGCAGGCUGGCGGCUGCUGCAGCAGAGCUUUGUGGGUCGGGGCUGAGGUCGCCGCCUCCGGCAGCGUGGUCCUGACCCGCGGCUGGCAGACGUUUGCCCGCGCGCGAGGCCUGGGUGGAAGGUGCACCCUCCGCUUCAAGUAUGACGGCCUGGCGACCCUCUACGUGAGGGUGUUCAGGGAGGACGGCCGCCACGUGGGGUGCGUCCCGGAGGACGGCAGCGACGUUGAGGGUGGCGAAGGUGAGCCUGGCCUUGGCAGUGCGCGCUCCUCUUCUCGCGACGGCGGCUCUUCUUCGGAUGAGAGCUCGAGCAGUGGUGGCUACGACCGGCCCCCACGUCGCCGCGCUCGGGUCGAGGAUGGCGGUGGUUCGUCUCGCCGCAACGCUCAAGUGAAGCUAGAGAGGAGCCCGGCGUGAGUCUGGGGGCCGCCGAACUUGGACUCAAGACCGGCUACAGCCCCAGGUCGCCUAUGGGGGAACUGGUGGAGCGUCGGGCUACCUUGAGGCGCUGCUUGAGGAUGCGGUGCUGGUGCCGUGUUCGUAUGCCCUCGAGUCUUCUUUGUUUAGCCUUUCCUUUCUCCUGUAAUUCGAAAAAAAGAUGGUGUACCCCACCGGGGCGUGUAAUGAACUAUGGGAGUUAUGCCCUCAAUGUUAUGCUUGCUAUCUUGAUGUUGUGUUGUAAUGUUUGCGCUCUGAGUAAGCCAAGAUAGGAAAACUUAGCUUGAUAUGUGCGCAGUAGCUUUCCACCUCGCGAGGACUUGGCUUCUGGCGCUCAACGAGGUCCCCUUCCUGGGGAGCUGGAGGUCACAGACCUCAAGAGACGCCUCGGGGUCUCGGGAGCCGCCGUGGAACCGCUGCAGGGCUGCUUUUAAAGGAAAAGGAAAACUGACGAGCACCUCACUCCUUCUUAUGUGAGCCCCCUGCCAUAGAUUAGCUCUGACUUAAUGCACCGCGUCGCGCUGCCCGGGGGGCACGAAUAUGAGGGGUGCUGAUGCCUGUGAGCUUGAUCGAGGGCUCCUCACGAGGACGAGGCCGAAGCACUAGGGAAGCAGGGUUCGACGUGGUGUGCGCGUACGAGGGUAGGCCCAAGGCGCACACACCUACCUAGCCCCCACGCGUGAGGCACGCGAGGGAGAGUGAUGGGCAACUGCCACCUCUCUCCUGUCCUUAGGCCAAAAACAAACGAGCGGGAGGGGAAGAAAUUAACUCGGCGAACCAAAACAUGAAAGUACCAAAUCCAUUGAAAGAUUACUAAAAAACUGCAAGCAACUUCGGAAAGCAAAUGAACAGCCGCUUCCGGCACCUAAUCUAGUCUUCUCACCAGCGCGGAGCUAAGUGUUGCCACUAAGACGUGGGAGGGAGCCCCCAUGAAGCCCCAGGGCGAAUCUCAGGAGACUCCGGGGCGUGUACAGUCCCACUCAUUAUUACAUGAGAGUGUCACGAGCAGAGACCUUCACAGGCCGGAGCCUUGCUUCACAGGCCUUUCUUUAAGGGUAGAACUUCCGGAGGUGCUGGAUGUUCCAGGCGUUCUGGAUGGGGACCCGUCCUGUGUCUCCAGGCACGCGGUGCCAGGCCUGGAGACACGGGCAAUCCUAAACGGGCCCUCCCACAUGGGAGAGAGCUUGUGCAACCCUUCCCUAGAGAGCACCCGCCUCAGGACGAGGUUGCCCACCUCUAACGUCCUGGAGCAGAUGCUGCGGCAGUGGUACCGCUGCAGCACCUGCUGGUACCUUGCCGCCCGGAGCGAGGCUUGACGGCGGCAUUCCUCCCCCAGCAUGAGAUCCAUCCCCCACGUGGCGUCCUGACGUGCCUCGUCGAAUGCCAGGACCCGCGUGGAGCGAUGCCUGACCUCGUGUGGGAGAACCGCCUCUGAUCCGUAGACGAGGAAGAAGGGCGUCUCUCCCGUUGGCUUGGUCGCGGUGGUGCGGAUGGACCACGACACAGACUGUAGCUCGUCGAGCUAGCCCCUGCCACAGGCCUCGAGCUUCUUCUUGAAGGUUCUUGUCUUGAGGCCCCUCAGGACUUCUGCAUUUGCCCGCUCGGCUUGGCCAUUGCUCCUGGGGUGUGCCAUUGAGGCCUAGCAUAUCUGCGUUCCAAGGUUAGCACAGUAUGUUUUAAAAAGGUUGCUAGUGAAUUGCGAGACGUUGUCAGUGAUGAUGCGGUUAGGAACCCCAAACCGGCUCACGAUGCCCUUGAUGAACUUGACGGCUGAUCCAGCUGGGAUGGCGUGAACAACUUCUACCUCCACCCACUUGGUGAAUUUGUCAAUGGCGAUGUAGAUGUAUCGGUAGCCCCCUGGCGCUUGAGGGAACGACCCCAAGAUGUCCAGCCCCCAGACCGCGAAUGGCCAUGUGAGCGGGAUUGUCUGGAGGCCCUGCGCAGGCUGGUGAAUCUGCUUGGCGUGGAACUGGCAUGCUUCACAGGAACGCACCAGCUCUGUGGCGUCAUUGAGCGUAGUGGGCUAGUAGAAGCCGCUGCGGAACGCCUUGCCCACCAGAGUGCGUGACGAGGAAUGAUGCCCGCAGUCCCCACCAUGUAUGUCCGCUAGUAGCUCAAUUCCCUGCUCCCUGGAGAUGCAUCGCAACGGAACGUCAUUGGGCCUCUUGCGAUAUAACUCACCGUCCUGGAUGCAGUACACGGUGGCUUGACGAGCCACGCGCUCAGCAUCCUCUUCCUUCUCUGGCAAGUUCUCUUGAAGCAGGUACGCCUUGAACUUCUCAGACCAGCACCCCUCCUGUGGCUCGAGUGCCAGCAGCAUGCGGGCCCCUGUGGGGUGGCCACAUGCUGGGGCGCCCGUCUCAGGCACCCGAGGCAGAUCCUCCUGAGGCGGUGCUAGAGCCGCGGUGGGGGGAGCCGCAGAUGGCUUGAAGAGCCGCUCCUCAAACACCCCCGGCUCCUGGGGGAGCCUUCGGGAGGCUCUCUUGGCGAUAUCGUCCGCCUCCUUGUUCGUCCCUCGCGGCACGUGUUGCAGUUCCAAGCCCAAGAACCGCUUCCCCAUCUUGCGUACCUCUUCUAGGUAUGCCUCCAUGUGCUCGUCCUUGGGUGUGUACUCCUUGUUGGAGAAGUUGACGAGGAGCUGGGAAUCGCCCUUGAUGGUGAGGCGCUUCACCCCCAGUGCCGCCGCGGCCCUGAGACGUGCGAGCAAGCCCUCGAACUCCACGAUGUUGUUGGAGACCUUCUCGCCCUGCUGGAAACAAAGUUGUACCGCGUAGCAGAGCUUGGCCUUGGUGGGUGAGAUAAGGACUGCUCCUGCUCCUGUGCCUUGUCAUGCGAACGCUCCGUCAAAGUACAUGAUCCACCCGUCUGGUUCCUGGUCCCCAAGUAAGAGGGAGCGGUCCUCGCUCACCCCGUGGUCGGGGAGGUUAGUCCACUCGGCCACGAAAUCAGCAAGGGCCGCACCCUUGAUGACCUUGGUGGUGCUGAACUCGAGAUGGAACGCCUGGAGCUCGAUGUUCCAUUCUGCAACUCGCCCGGCGGCGUUUGGGCUCUGGAGCACCCUCUCCGGUGGGUCUGCCGAAACGACUUUGAUGGGGUGGCCUUGGAAGUAGUGACGCAGCUUUCGGGAGGCGACGAGGAGCAUGAGCAAGAGUUUCUGAGGCAUGGGGUAGCGUGCCCGUGCCUCCCUCAGCACUGUGCUGACGAAGUAGACAGGGUACUCGAUGAGGGAAGAGGCACCAGUGGAGUCUUGUUCUUCUUGAGGACGCGGGCCUUCGAUGGUCUCGUGAGGUACGUCCUCAGGAGCCCCCCCCCCCAGCCGUGAGGUCAAUCGCAGCCUCGGGAGGGACAUCGGCCGCUGGGAUGGCCGAGGCCCCAGUUGCGCCGUCUUGAGGGCAUUGUGCUUUGCUUGGUGGUUGAGCGCCCUGCCGAGGGUCCUUGGAUGGGCACUCCUUCCUUAGCGCCACCAGGGCGGCACUGGCUGAGUGAGGGGUGGCUGCCAAAUAGAGCACCAAGGGCUCGAGAGGGCGCGGCGCCACCAUCACUAGUGGGCUGGUCAGGUAUCUCUUGAGGUCUUGAAAGGCUGCGUCUGCCUCCGGGGUCCACUCGAACGCCUCCUUGCUUUUCAUCAGCUUGAAGAACGAGAGGGCGCACUCCCCCAGCUUGGAGAUGAAGCGCCCAAGCGAGGUUACGCUGCCCUCCAGUUUCUGCAUCUCCUUCAGGGUCUGCGGGGGGCUCAUGUCUUCAAUUGCCUUGACCUUCUCUGGAUUGGCCUCGAUCCCUCUAUGUGACACCAGGAAGCCCAGCAGCUUGCCUGAGGGAACCCCGAAUACACACUUCUCGGGAUUGAGCUGAAGAUCCACCUUGCACAAGCUGGCAAACGUCUCCUCCAGAUCUGCUAUCAGGGUCCUGGCCUCCCGAGACUUCACUACUAUGCCAUCGACAUAGGCCUCUGCAUUUCUCCCGAGCUGCAUGCCCAGGGGAUAUGCAUUAGCCGCUGGAAGGUAGCCCCGGCAUUGCGCAGCCCGAAGGGCAUGCAGGUGUAGCAGUGCACCCCGCAGGGGGUCAGGAACACCGUCUUCUCCACAUCUUGCACGACCAUCUUGGCCCGAGAAGGCGUCCAAUAAGCACAACAGGUCACACUCGGCGGUGGAGUCCAUGAUCUGGUCAAUGCGAGGAAGCGGAAAGGCAUCUUGAGGGCAGGCCUUGUUGAGGUUGGUGAAGUCGACACACAUGCGUUCCUUCCCUCCUUUCUUGGGGACGACAACGGGGUUCGCCAGCCACUCCAGGUAUCGUACUUCCCUGAUGACCCCCGCGUCUUGCAGCUUGCGGGUUUCUUGGACGAUAAAGGCUUGCUGUGGACUGACGACGAGCCUUCUGCUUCACUGGUCGCACGCACGUUUGGGCAUACCUUUAGGUGGUGCUCGAUUAUUCCCCUCGGGACCCCAGCCAGGUCUUUGGGCUCCCAAGCGAACACAUCCUUGUUGGCGCGCAAGAGGUCGACCAACGCUUUUCUCUUGGUCCUGAGGGAGGCCAGCUCCUAUGGUGAAGGUGGUGCUGGUUGUUCCCUCGUCACUGACCAACACUUGAUUCGUCUCGGCUCGGUCUUGGGAGAACAGCUAAUGGUUCUUGGCCGGUGCCGCUCCCGGGGCCCUAGGACCCCCCUUCUCAUCAGGCAGCACGGAUGCCGCUGACCUGAAGGUGAGCUUGAGGGCCUGCAGCAAGUCUUUGGUGUCCCCUGCCACCGUGAGGACACCGUUGCUGCCAGGCAUCUUCAUGAGGUUGUAAGUUGGGUAAGUCGCCGCCAUGAACUUGGCCAAGGGCGGGUACCACAGGAUGGCAUUGUAUGGCAGGCCGAUCCGGGCGAUGUCAAAGUCGAUGAGCUUGGUGCGGUAGUUGUAGUGGGUCCCGAAGGUGACGGGGAGGUGGAACUGCCCCAGGGGGCUGGUGGAGCCAUUGCCGACCCCGGCGAAAGGCUUGGUGGGGCGAAGCCGGCCGAGGGGCACGUGCAGCAGGCCGAAUGUUUCCGCAGAGAGCACGUUGAGGCCGGCUCCACCGUUGAUGAGGGUCUUGGUGACCUCCACGUUGCAGAUGGUGGGGGUGCAAAGCAUCGGGAGUGCGCCUACUCCUGUCGUGGCAGCUGGAUGAUCCUCGGGGCCAAAGGUGAGGUCAACCUUAGGCGCCGCCCAGCCCAGGGGAGCCCCCGAGCCCGCCUGGGCGGCACUUACGUGUCGGUAGAACUGCUUGAUGUGGCGGUCGGAGGGUGAUCCCUGCGAGCCACCUAGGAGAGCUGCGACGACCGGGGGCGCCGGUGCCGCGAAGCGUGCGAUGAAGAGGCCGUGCAGCUCCUCCCAGGAGGCUACAGAGGACUCCGGCAGGUUGAGCAACCAGGCGCGCGGUGCGCCUACAAGGGCCAUGGGAAGCCAGUUGGCCUUCACCUUGUCAUCUCCGCCGGCCGCCCAAACUGCUUCUUCAUACGCAUGGAGGAAGGCGGCCGGGUCCGCCGUGCCGUCGUAGCGUGGCGGCAUCUCCGGUCUGAACUUGGGUGGCCACUCCACCCGCCGCAGGGAGAGGGUGAAAGAGCGCAGCCCCGGUGCUACUUCUAAGGCACGCGUCGGCCGAGUCGAUGGAGAAGCGCCCGCCAUUGAAACCGACGGCGCGAUCUGGCGGACGGGGCAGAAGAUCUCCGACGCACCCCUGCCUGGCGCGCCAAAUGUCGGAUUACGGGUUCCGCAAACCCUUGAAAGGUUCGAACUCUGGGGUGUGUGCGGAGAUCUCAACCUACCCAGCCUACCUACUCAUGAUCCUCCUGAGCCUAGCGCGUCGAGCUCGAAGAGACAAAGAGACACAACAGUUUAUCCUGGUUCGGGCCACCUUGCGGUGUAAUACCCUACUCCAGCGUUUUGGUGGAUUGCCUCAGAGGGCUGAGGAUGAACUAGUACAGUGGAUGAACUAGCAUCAGGAGGUGAGGUGUUCUUGAGCUCAAGAGAGAUGGUGGGAUGUGGACUAGAUCAGAUGCGGUCCGAUCCCCCUCUAUGGUGGUGGCUAAGUCCUAUUUAUAGUGGCCUUGGUCCUCUUCCCAAAUGUUGGCGGGAAGGGAUCCGACAACGGCCGGAUUUGAAAGGGGACAAGUAGUAUAGCUUAUCCUGACAAAAGUGAUCUUCGCCUGCGAAAAGCCCCUGGUCGUGACGCUGCGGUGGGCUCGGUGAUGACCUCCGUCCUACCGUCCUGGUGGUCUUGGUCUUGUUGCACCAGAAUGGAAACCUUUGGCUGAUUCCUCGGGACUACGCGCCUGUGGCUUGCCUCCUUGCACCAAAGAGGGAACUGGCGCUCAGCGCCCGCUGGCGCUCAGCGCCCGCUAGCGCUCGCCUGGCCUUGGUCCUCAUGGCUCACAUCAGCUGAGCCUCAUGAGCUGCACCUUGCAUAGAACUCUCAGCCCCUCGGGAGCCAGCCUGAAGAGGCCGAUCCCCUCGAGGGUCUUGGCAUCGUCCGCCUCGCGAGGCUUGGCCCCUCGCGAGGGUCUUGAGCUGUUGAUGUCGAAGCUGGGCCGUACCAAGCCGCAGAUGGAGCCACACGGUGGGCCGCAGGCAGGCAAGUCUGGAUACCCCCAUAUCCAGAACGCCGACAGGUACCGCAGAUCGGGACUUGCUGCCUCAACGCCGUCGAACAGAGAAACGAUGCACAUCCUCCCUUUCCGCCGGUGAACGGGAUGCGGCCGGAUCACUGACCAACGGUGAGAGAGAGAGGCCACCGCCGCCUUGUGUGAGAUGGCGUGACGAUAGACAAACCCCGGCAGGCAGGCUCCAUUGUAUAUAGUGGAGCGGAUUUUUCUUUUUUCCCGACGACGAUCGUUUUAUAUUCUGUACGUGCCAUUGAGGAAUAUUACUUUAUUUAAUACUAAUGCGCCAAGUCGAACUUUGUUCCGUCUACGCGUGGUACACGACCCUCCUUCGAAUAAACAACCGCUACACGCGUCAAAUUAUCACGUGGGCUGCCUUUUCGUACAGAAAUGAACUCCACCAUGUACCCGCGCAGGUGUGGCCGGGAACGAGACGUGAGUACAUGCGUCCUGCGUGCACCUCUUCUUUAGGUGCGGGUACGUACGUGGGUGGGUGUGAGAGAGAUGGUUUGCGCGAAACAGAGGCAAUGUGUCGAUGAUAUCUCAAACAAAAAAAUAACAUAUGCAAUGUGUGUGAAACAGAUUCAUGGAUAUAUCAUAUAUAGAGGGAGCGAUCCAUGAGAAGAGAGUGGAGGGAUCAUCGACGUGAGAUAUCGAUAGAAUCAAAAACAGGGAUGAAGUGUGUGGCUACGCGAACGAUAAAGGGUGGCAUCAAAUUUGUGUUUGCCCAAGUCAAAGAUACAAGGCGGCUGGCCUACUGGAAUUUGAGAGGGCAGAGGUGCAGUUUUUCUCUGUGGCAUGGAUACCUACCUACAACGUUCGACUAUCGGUGUGUGUGGGGGGGGGGGAGGGGCAGAGACCUAACUAUAGAGAGGUAGCUCGACUAGUAUAUGUGUGGAGAAGGAGAGAGACCUAGCUAUGUAUUGAGGGAGAUCAAUCGGCAUCCAUGCAUAUGUCUAGCAGAGGAAUAAGGUUGGGAGAAAGACAAAGGUAGAGUGUCGGAGGGUUGGUGGUGGAGGUUCUUCUCACAAAUGCUGGGAGAGGCCUGCUAGACAAACGGAGGGUACGGGUGCAAUAUCAACAAGAGAGGGCCGGGGAUGUCUUCCUGUCUAUGCACGUGCGUGUGAGAGACGGGUCGGGAGGUAUGCAAGGAUGAUGAGGGGGGACGAUAUGGUUGUGGUAAGCAUACGUAACUACAUAGGAAGAUCAAUCGUCGUGUAUCCGAGAAAGGGAGAGACAUAACUAGUGAGGUAAGUCUAUGGUGCGUGGGGAAAAAGAAUUAUAGUCGACCUAGCUAUAUGUAGGGAGAACGGUACGUAUACAUGCAUGCAUGUGUUAGAAGCAAAUAAGGUCCAGAGAGACGGACAGGGGGAGAGGGGUGCGGCUAGGAGGUGGUGCGACAGGCCUACUAUGUCGAGGGGGAGGAUUGUGCGAGUAUGAGAUCAAUGAAAAGAGGGGCGGGAGUGUGCACCUGCAUGGAACCGUAUUGGACAUAGGGAGGCAUGGACGGUGAGAAGAGAAGAUGGGAAGUGUGUGUUUUUGGUAGGCACACUUGGCUAGAGAGGCAUAUCGACCGGUGUGUGCCGGAAAGAAGGAGCCGGGGGGCUACACACACCAUGGGUGAACAACCUAAAGAGAAAUAACGAAUGUGCGUGAUGGAGGGGACGCUGAGGGAGGGUGAGAGGGGGCGGGCGUGUGCAUGCACGAUAGAAAGUUAGCGCUAGCUAGCUACAAAGAGAAGAGGAUCGUGAAGGUGUAAAAGACGAACAGAGAUCAUAAUUCAUUAUAAAAAAGUGGAUACGGAUACUUGAAGAAGAUAUCAUAAUGUAUAACAUUGAUUAUAAUUUGGGAUAAUGUGUGACUUUUGCAGCUCAGGGCUAAAUACUUGUCAUAAUGUAGGGGGCGGGGCACUAUACUUUGUGUGAUAAACACAGUGUACGUAUGGAACAUGGUUUAGAUUAUGAAUAUCUAGUUAGUACAUCAAAUGUACUAUUAUUUGAAAUCAACAUCAAGUGUAUUCAAAAAAUUGAAUUCGAGUUCAUAUAGUACACAUAGUUCAUAUAUAUCUCUAUAGUAAUCAUGUGGUGUGUUGUUAAGGUAAUACACAAAUGAUGGUUGAAGUUGGCAACAAUCAUGACUAGUAGAAUGCCCGUGCAUUGUCUCUGGCUUUUGAAAUAUUUUUCUGAAGUUAUAUAAACAUAAUGUGUUAAAUUUCACAUGUAAAGAAAAGAUAGCAUGGGCACAAUUGGGUAAUAAUUGAAGUCCACUUCACUUGCAAUGUAAAUUCAUUAAAAAAGCAGUUUGACUAUUUAUACAUACAGAGCGAUUGUUCAACUAAAAAUAUAUUACAAAUUAAAUUUCACUUGAUGCACUUAAGAAAUUCCUGCGCGGUUAGGAAUGUUGUCUAUCCAGUUUUGUUGAGCUUACCUGCCCAGCCUUAUUCUGAUCUCAGCUACUCUCUCACCACACCCAGCCCUCUCACUCUCUCACCCCAGACACAUCCCUGCAAUUUCCUAAACUAAUAUUAUCUUGAAUAUAGUGAUAAAAAAAUAAAUGCUUGUAUUUUGAAUGUUAUGAUGAUGAAAUAUAUAAAUUUACCCGUCUAUGCUCCUUGGAAUACCAUGUGGAAAUAAACGUUGCCAUCUAGCUAUGUCAAAAUACCAGUCGAGUUGCUUUUAUUUCGAGUGUCCUGGUAAAUUCCCUCGCAAAUCUUGUGUGGUCAACCUCGACCAGAGCUUCUACUUCUUUGGUUGUGCGGUCAUGAAUUCCUCACUCUCACUCAAAAACACCGUGACGGCCACCAUCGACCAUGCCCUGCUCGCCGACUAAAAACAUAACUUUACCAUCCAGAGAGGCUACUCGAGGAAUCGAGGGUGCAAUCGCCAUACGUGGGUUUCCACUUUCCCCCCUUUGAUUUUAACUCAUUUUUUGCAUGAGGGGGAUCGAGCGAGGGGGUGAAUUUGUUUCCUUGGAUUGAUCGGUGGUUUUACGAAGCGAAUCGAACAAACACGACAUAUGGACUUCCUUUAACUGUGGGGAAUACUAUGUAUAAUAGACAUUUAAUAAUAUUCAAAAAAUUAGAGAUUAAUAAUAAAUACAUACAUCAUAUUUUUUUCAUCUGGAAAGAUUUAAUUUGACUGGGGUAUGAGUAGUAGAAGGCAAGAAAAGUUUUUAUUUAAUGUAAAGCAAGGAAAGUUUCGAGUUGGUUGAAAUUUUGAUAAGAUUUGAAUUGAUUGAGUUAAUUCAUGAUGUGGUUUUGGUAAAUUAUGAUUUGGUUUAGAUUAUUUCAAGCUGCUUUAUUUACAUUGAUUUUUGUUUUGUGCUCCAUCAAUUGAGGUUACUAAAAAAACAGAAAACCAAAGAAGAAAUGGGGCAUGGAAGGAAAAAACAGGUGUAGGCGGCGUGAUGCGGAGCAUCCCACGGUCAUCCCCAUGGACCUACCAUCAUCUCAUCAAGUGCCAAGAAGACCCAUGACACAAGCACGAGCUAGAGCUCUCGAGACCGAGGUGACUUCCUUCCUUAAUGAACUUCCAUAUGAAUCAUGUGAGACAUGGAUACUACCUCAAACGGAAAUGUUAUGCGUGCUCAGGUACCUAGAAGACCCUCUCGGAGAUGCGCAUGAAGACGGACAAGUCCACAAGUUCAUGGAUGAAGAGAACCAACGGAUGGAGUCAACAUCUCCCAGGCCCCGGACAUUCGGCCGUGACCCUGGACAUCCGGCCAUGACCCCGGACAUCCGACCCCUGGAACAUCGUCCACAGCAGCCGCCCAGCCGCCAAGCAUCUACAGGCCCCGGACAUCCGGCCCCAGCCCGGAAAUCUGGCCGAAGCCCGGAGAUCUGGCGCCGCGUCACCGAACCUACUCAACCGGCCUCCACUAGCCCGGACAUUGGCCCCCCUAGCCCAGACAUCCGGCCCCUCGGGAAGGCCCGGGUAUCCAGCCCCUCCUGUCUGCGCACAGUAAAGGGUCGAGGCCUGUGUACCCCUUCGCCCACCUAGACUAUAUAUACUCCUUCUCCUCCAUCUUUCUAGGGUUAGCAAUGUGAUAGCUCAUAUUUGAGAUAGAGCUUUGCUCAUCCAUACGGGUCUACUCCUCGAGAGAGACCACGGCCCCUCUUCGGAGAUGAUCCACGUUGGAUUCAAGACCUCCUCACGGAGAAGACCCCCUUCAAGACCUCCUCACGGAGAAGAACCAGUUACCCUAUGUAUCGUCCUUUGUUGGAUUCAUAUCGUGUAUCUCUCUUUGUGUUAUGAGGAUCUAGCGCAUGUGUGAUUGUUCUUAUUGGUUUGAGUGAUUCUCUUGUGUUUUCCCUUGUGUUUCCCCUCGUGUUCUGCGUGUUCCUCGUUGCGAUCCACUCCUUUCGUGAAAGAUCGGGCAGCUAGGGUUCGACCCUACAUCAUCUUGGUAUCAUGAGCCACGCUGAUCACAAUUUCGGAGCCUCCCUCUUUGUUUUUUAGCCUUGUUUUGUUGAUUUUGUCCCAAAUUCGAAAAUUUCCCACAAAAAUAGCCCCCCAAUUUUUUUGUGAUUUGUUGGUGUGAUGAAAUUUUGUUGGAUUUGAUCCGUGGAUUUCGUGUGUAGCAGGUAGAUCUAGCUUUCCCCCAUCUUUUCCCCAAUUUCCAUCCACAAAAUCUUCCGAAUUUUGCCCCGGAUUUGACCUUUCCACGCGGAGUUCAUCGAGUUCGUCCACGGAUCCCGAGCCCGGACAUCUGGCCUCCCCGGACAUCCGGCCCUCAAGCCCGGACAUCUGGCCCCUAACAGCAUCACUUCCAUCUACCGUUCUGUUUUCCGCCUAACUUUCACCAAUUUUUGUUUCGGUGCCCAUUUACACUUCCGCAUACCACCACCACUUCCGCAUAGAACCACCACCGCUUACCCGCUACCAACUCUGACAACUUUUGACACAUUUUGCUUUGAGAAUUUGAGUUGCAGUGCUCGUGUCCUAUUGUAUUUCGGCUAUUUAGGUAUGGUGCGACAACAACAUCACCGCCGCUCAUCUUCGCCAAGGACUCGACAUCGACCUCUUCGACAACUUUGACACUUCGACCGUAAGCACGGACGGUAACCUUGAUGACACUGUGUGUACUCCAUGCCAUUACAUUGAUAACCACAUAUCCCAUCUUUGCGUACCUUACUCAUCGAGACUAGCCUUUGAGUAUUGCCGGCAACGUGACUUGUGCACAUUAGUGAUCAUACUUCCCGUAGCAUACAUACCAUAUCAUAGUGGUGCAUAUCUUGGUAUCAUCUCUUGUGUCACAAGGUUGUCAUCGCAUAUACACAAUUGCUAUCUUGGUUCGUGAAGUUUUGCAUGAGAAAAGAGCUCAAAAGAGAAAGAGGAAAACAAGCUUUUAAGCGAAAGGGAAAGAUAAGCAAAGAGCUUAUAAGCAAGAACCAUAGCAUCAUACUACAUUAAGAUUGUCAUACUCGAUCAUCUUGGAUCAUAUCAACGGAAUACCAUACAUAUAGCAUAGUUGGGAUAGAAGUCGUUGCAUUUUUGCUUAGUAGGUUGUGCACAAGUUUCGUAUCCGCCUAUUAAUCGUGCUAGCGUCUCUCUAGUGUUGUGCAACAAGAGCAUUUUCGUGGAUUCCACAUUUUGGAUCAUUCCUUGGUUGCACGAUCCCAUCUAUCUAUUUGCGUGUGUGUUUCCAUGUUCCAUAUCUUGCUAUUGGUCUACUUGUUGCAUUUGCAAAUUUGUGAAUCUUUUCCAACUUUAUUGAAGCUCACUAACAAUUGCAUCAAAUUUUGUGCCACCAUCCUAACCAAGCUCCACCAUAAGCUUUUACUUGUGUAGGUGUGAGAACCGACAAGAAUUGGUACCAAUUGUGCUAUUUCCUUGUUCCACGUUUGAGUGAUCAUUGAUCCAUCUUCAACAUCGGUCAAGGUACAUUUGGUAUAAGUUCUUCUCUUUCUCCCACUCACAUAUUUGCUUGGAAUGAUGGAUAGGCCAAGUUAUUCUACCAACCCACUAUUCAUCGAGCAAGACGAUGACAUGUCCUCCUAUGUCACAAAGAGCCACCUCUUUGGUGCACAACGAGCUUUGCAUCAAGAGCAACAAGCAAUGAGCGAACGCAUCGACAACCUCGCCACUAACUUGCGACUCUCCGAGCAACGUACAAGAGAGUACUUCGACAACAAGCUAGACGACCACAAACAAGAGAAUGACGCAAGAAUGGACGAGAUUCGUGCUUUGUUGCUCAACCGCUCUUCUCCCAUUUCGUCCUACUCAAGACGGAGCCGCUCGAGUCGACCCUCUGACGACACAAUCUCCGGCUCAAGUACCCCAACAUCAAACACUCUUCGACGAGCCGUGCACCAAGACCGUCAAGCAAACCGCAAUCCUCUACACGACAACAACUCUCAAGAGCAAGUUCGAGCGCAACAACAUCGACACGGUCAAAACCAAGCUUCUUUCGUGCAAGCACAAGAACGGCAACGUCAACAUCAACAAGAAGAGGAAGAACGAGCAAGAUAACACCAAGAUGCACAAGAUGCCGAGGCACAACGUCAAGUAAAACAACGGCAAGAAGCUCAAGCACUUGAGGCGCAACAAGCCCUCCGAGAUUCAAGUCGAACCGUAGCCACACGCAACCGGCAAGCUCGUGAACAACAAGAAGCACUUCGUGAUGAAGUUCAAGAACGACUCUAUCAAGCUCGCAUACAUCGUCAAGUUCCUCAAGCUCCUCCACAAGCUCGUCAAGAACAUCAAGUUCACCAAUAGGAAGAAGACAAUGUAAAUCCUCCAAGACAAGAGCAAUAUGAGGUUGACAACCCUCCACGUCAUGGGCGUCAUCAUCCCCAACCCCAACACAAUGAAGAGAAACGCUAUGGCAAGCUAAAGUUCACCACGCCCAAGUUUUCCGGAAGCAAUGAUACCGAAGAGUACCUUUCAUGGACAUUGAAGGUUGACAAAACCUUCCGCUUGCACAAUUAUGAAGAAGAGAAGAAGAUCGCGAUGGAAUCCCUUGAAUUUCAAGAUUACGUCCUCAUUUGGUGGGAACAAGUCCUUGAGCGCCGAGAGGCAAGAGGUGAACCACCCAUCACAACUUGGGCGCAAAUGAAGGAUGUCAUGAGAGCACGUUUCGUGCCAACCUACUACAACCGCGACCUCUUCAAGAAACUCCAACUCCUCAAGCAAGGAACCAAGAGCGUUGAAGAAUACUACAAGGAAAUGGAGAUUGCCAUGAUACUAGCCAAUGUCACAGAAGAUGAUGAGCAAACUAUGGCACGUUUCUUGAAUGGACUCAAUCAUCCUAUCAAGAAGAUCGCCGACUUCCAACCAUACUUAAACCUCAUCGAGCUAGUGGACCAAGCAACCAAGGCGGAGCGACAAGUGCAAGAUGACUUCAAAUACGCCAAGUUCUCUUCCAAGACAUUCGGACAAUCAAGCUUCAACGACUCCAACACCUUCUACCUCAACCAAGCCUUCUACAAGCAAUGGCGACAAGUCAAGUUACAAGAAAACUUUGACAACUUCAAGUUGUCCUACUACAAGCAACUUCAAGCCGAUAGCUUCAUCAUCUACUCCGACCGAUGAGACCAUCAAGACAAGUUCCUUCAAAUGUUUCACAUGCGGCGGCCGAGGCCACAAGUCCUAUGAGUGUACCAACAAGCGAACCAUGAUCCUCAACGACGACGGAACCUAUGACUCCAUGAGUGAAGAGGAGAUGGAAGCCCUUGGGCAAGUGGCCAUGCAUCGGCAAGUGAACGAAGAUGAAGAUGAUCAAGUCUUUUGUGACGAGGAUUCGAGCCCCGCUCUCGUUGUCUCCAAGGUCUUGACUCUUCAACAUCAACAAGAUGAAGACCAAAGAUGCCAUAUCUUCCACACCAAGGUCGGCAUCAAUGGAAGGUCCGUCAAGGUCAUCAUCGACGGAGGGAGUUGCCAUAACUUGGCGAGUGACGAACUAUGCUCCAAGCUCCAAUUGGUCAAGACGAAGCAACCGCACCCCUACAAGGUUCAAUGGCUAAGCGACUCCGGCACUAUACAAGUUGAGCAUACGGUGAAAGUUUCCUUCAAAAUCGGAGCCUAUGAAGACACUUUGGAGUGUGAUGUCGUUCCGAUGUCCAUUUACCACCUCCUUCUUGGACGGCCAUGGCAAUUCGAUCGAAGCGUCAUCCACAACGGCCGUACAAAUCGCUAUAGCUUCAAGAUGAAAGGAAAGGAGUACGUUUUACGACCUAUGUCUCCAAGUCAAGUGAUCGCCAACAAACAAGCCACCCAUCAUGGAGAGAAUAGUGAGAGAGCGAACCACCAAAAAGAGAGUGAGUGCCACAAGCCAAAAUUGAGUGCCUCCAUGAUGAGCGAAAAGAAGAAUCCAGUCCUAUUUGCCACCAAACGUGAGAUGAGAGAAGUGUGUGAGAACCCAUCAAGUGUUAUGCACUAUGUCCUCUUGUGCAAGGACGAGGCACCAAAAACUAACACCUCUCACAAUCUACCUCUAGUGUUAUUGUCUCUUUUGUAGGAAUUCCAAGACGUUUCCCCCCAUGAUCUACCUCCGGGUCUACCUCCACUACGAGGCAUUGAGCACCGAAUCGACCUCAUCCCUGGAGCACCCCUUACUAACAAGGCUCCCUACCACGACAACACCGAGGAAACUAAGGAGAUCCAACGGCAAGUACAACAUCUCAUCGAAAACGGCCAUGUACGAGAAAGUUUGAGCCCUUGUGCCGUACCGGUGAUCCUUGUUCCCAAGAAAGACGGUACAUUUCGCAUGUGUUCCGAUUGCCGUCCUAUCAAUGCUAUUACCGUGCGUUAUCGUUACCCCAUUCCACGCCUAUAUGAUAUGCUAGAUGAACUUAGCGGAGCCGUCAUUUUCUCUAAAAUUGAUCUUAAAAGUGGCUACUAUCAAAUACGCAUCCAAGAAGGUGAUGAAUGGAAAACCGCAUUUAAGACCAAAUUUGGCUUAUAUGAAUGGCUUGUUAUGCCAAUGGGUUUAUCCGAAGCACCCGGUACUUCCAUGUGACUCAUGCACUUUGUUUUUCGACCCUAUAUUGGUGUAUUUGUUGUGGUCUACUUUGAUGAUAUUCUUGUCUUUAGCAAGUCCCUCAAAGAUCAUGUCACCCAUCUUAGAACCGUGUUGCAAGCCCUUAGGAAAGAGCGACUUUAUGAUAAUACGGAUAAAUGCCUUUUUGGUGUUGAUAAGCUUGUUUUCUUGGGUUUCGUUGUGUCUUCUAAGGGUGUUCAUGUAGAUGAAUCUAAGAUCAAUGCUAUUAAAACUUGGCCCCAACCAACCAACUUGCAACAAGUGCGUAGUUUUCUUGGUUUAGCCGGUUUCUAUCGUAGAUUUGUGAAGGAUUAUAGCACCAUUGCUUCACCUUUGCAUGCUUUGCGUAAGAAGAAUGCACCAAUCAUUUGGGGAUCAUCCCAAGAUACCGCAUUUAAUGAGCUUAAGAAUUUGCUUACUCAUGCUCCCAUGCUUGCAUUACCCAACUUUGACAAACCAUUUGAAAUUCAUUGCAAUGCUAGCGGUAAUGGCAUAGGAGGUGUGUUAACGCAAGAGAAGCGCCCCAUAGCAUACUUUAGAGAGAUACUCUUCGGAGCGCAACUCAAUUAUCACAUCUAUGACAAAGAGCUAUAUGCUUUAGUGCGAGUUUUGCGUGAAUGGGAACAUUAUCUUCGCCCUCAUGAAUUUAUCAUUCAUACCGAUCAUGAAACGCUUGAGUAUCUUAAGGGUCAAACUAAGUUGAACAAGCGUCAUGCUAAAUGGAAUGAAUUUAUAGAGUCAUUUCCUUAUGUCAUCAAAUACAUAAAAGGCAAAGAAAAUGUUGUGGCGGAUGCGCUUCCCCGUAUAUGCAUGCUUGUUACUAAACUUGAAUUAAAUGUCAUUGGCUUUGAGCACAUAAAAGACUUGUAUGCGCAUGAUCCUGCUUUUGCAAUUCCUUAUGCCAAGUGUUUGAUGCAUACAUCUUGGGAACGCUAUUACAUCAAAGAUGAUUAUCUUAUGAGAGCUCAUGGAGGAGGACUAAUGGGACACUUUGGACGCGACAAGACAUUCACUACGCUCUCCAAGAACUAUUAUUGGCCCAAGAUGUUCCGCGACGUCUCACGCUUCACCAACUGAUGUUCGACUUGUCGCAAAGCUAAGUCCAAAGCUCAAUCUAAUGGCCUUUACAUGCCUCUCCCAAUUCCAUAUCAACCAUGGGAAGAUAUUAGCAUGGACUUUGUGCUUGGUUUGCCUAGAACUAUAUAUGGAAAGGAUUUCAUGUUUGUUGUUAUGGACCGAUUCUCCAAAAUGGCACAUUUCAUACCAUGCAACAAGAUAGACGAUGCUUCACAUGUUGCCAAUCUUUUUUGUAGGGAAAUCUUGUGCCUACAUGGAGUGCCAAAGACGAUUGUCUCGGACCGCGACAUCAAGUUCUUAAGCUACUUUUGGAAGACCUUAUGCGCCAAGCUUGGAAUCAAGCUACUAUUCUCUUCGGCGUACCACCCACAAACUGACGGCCAAACGGAGGUGACGACUGCACACUAACAACACUUCUUCGCGUGUUGAUCAAGAAGAAUCUCAAGGAAUGGGAAGAAUGCCUACCCAUCGCCGAGUACGCCUACAACCGCGCAAGACAUUCGACUACCGGCAAGUCCCCUUCCGAGGUCGUCUACGGUUUCAACCCGUUGUCCCCAUUGGACAUUCUCCCUCUAUCACUGCAAGAGCGCAUCAAUAUGGACUCGAGUGCCCGAGUGAACUACCUCAAGAAGAUGCAUGAAGAUACAAGGCACACCAUCGAGUUCCAAGUACAACGACUCGCGACCAAGCUCAACAUCAACAAGCAACCCUUGAUAUUCAACAUUGGAGAUCUUGUGUGGCUACACCUUCGCAAGGAAUGCUUCCCCACCGAACGCAAGUCCAAACUUCUACCACGAGCCGAUGGACCCUUCAGGGUGCUUGAACGCUACAACAACAACGCCUACAAGAUCAACAUCCCACGCGACAAGUACUCCGUGAGCGACAUCUUCAACAUCAAAGAUCUCUCCCCAUACCAUGGUGAUGAGCAUUUUGAUCCGAGGUCAGAUCUUUCCCAAGGGAGGGGAGAUGAUGCAGAGCAUCCCACGGUCAUCCCUAUGGACCUACAAUUGUCUCAUCAAGUGCCAAGAGGACCCAUGACACGAGCACGAGCUAGAGCUCUCGAGACCGAGGUGACUUCCUUCAUGAACUUCCAUAUGAAUCAUGUGAGACAUGGCUACUACCUCAAACGGAAAUGCUAUGCGUGCUCAGGUACCUAGAAGACCCUCUCAGAGAUGUGCAUGAAGACGGACAAGUCCCCAAGUUCAUGGAUGAAGAGAACCAACGGAAGGAGUCAAGAACAUCUCCCAGGCCCCGGACAUCCGGCCCCUGGAGCAUCGUCCAUAGCAGCCGCCAAGCAUCUAGAGGCCCCGGACAUCCGGUCCCAGCCCGAAAAUCCGGCCCGAAGCCCGGACAUCCGGCGCCCCAUCACCAAACCUGCUGAAACGGCCUCCACGGCCCGGACAUCUGCCCCCCUAGCUCGGACAUCAGGCCCCUCGGGAAGGCCCGGACAUCCGGCCCCGCCUGUCUGCGCACAGUAAAGGGCCGAGGCCUGUGUACCCCUUCGCCCACCUAGACUAUAUAUACUCCUUCUCCUCCAUCUUUCUAGGGUUAGCAAUGUGAUAGCUCAUACUUGAGAUAGAGCUUUGCUCAUCCAUAUGGAUCUACUCCUCGAGAGAGACCACGGCCCCUCUUCGGAGAAGAUCCACGUUGAAUUCAAGACCUCCUUACGGAGAAGAACCGGUUACCCUAUGUAUCGUCCUUUGUUGGAUUCGGAUCGUGUAUGUCUCUUUGUGUUAUGAGGAUCUAGCACAUGUGUGAUUCUUCUUGUUGGUUUGAGUGAUUCUCUUGUAUUUUCCUUCAUGUUUCCCCUCAUGUUCUUUGUGUUCCUUCUUGGGAUCCGCUCCUUUCGUGAAAGAUCGGUCAGCUAGGGUUCCACCCUACAUGACGGUGAUACCAACUCCCCUUUGUAGAGAUUUAGACAUAAAUGUAGUAAUUUAUGCCUAGAUAUAAUUAUAUGAUCAUCUUGUAAUCGACGAACGUGUCCUAGUCUUUUUUUUCAAGAAUGUGUCCGUCUUACGUGCCGCCUAUUGACCUUACAAAACUGUCACACAUUAUCCUUUGUGUCCUUACAAAUCAUAGAGAGAGGGGGGGACAAGACAACAUAAAAAAGGAAAUUAGCAACACUGUGCUCCUCACAUGUAGCACUUUUAACAUAGGUCAUUACAGAAUCAGCAAACAAGUGUACAUAGUGAACUAUCGGAAGCUCUGCAUAUAGGAUUCUCGCAUAUAGAGCUAUUAUCUAACUAACCAUUUGUGAAAGCACAAGUGCUCCCUGGGUGAUUUUGGUAAUUAAUGUCAACAUAUCUUUUGUUGGACUAAUACUUUUACCUAGUAUGUUUCAGAUAAGUUCAACAAUGGAGUGGCAUGGACUAGAGGAUGUGGAACCCCUUCAAGAUUCUAAGGACAAAGGAUUGGCUCAAGCUCAAAGCACAAGACUCUACAUUUUACUUUUAGUGAUCCAAGUUCACAUUGAGUCCAUAGGAAAGCCAAUACUAUUAAGAGGGGAUGAGGUGUUGCUUAAUGGCUUGCUUGCUCAAAGUGCUUAGUGAUAUGCUCCAAAUCCCUCAACUACUUUCUCACAUCCAUAUAUGUCCCAAACCAAAAGUCAAACUCGGCCCUACCGAAUCUUUCUAUCCGGCGCCACCGAGUUCUGUUGACAUAGCCACUGCCACAAACCCUAAUCAAGUCGGUCUCACCGAUAGGGAUCUCGGUCUCACCGAGAUGGGAUUGUAAUCUCUAUGUUGCCCUUCGUAACAUUUCGAUCAAACCGAGAUAAGCGAUCGGUCCCACCGAGAUUGCAAUGCAAACUCUCUGUUUCCCUUUCGUACCAUUUCGGUCCAACCGAGAUGAGCGAAUCGGUCCCACCAAGUUUGCCUGACCAACUCUCUGUGUGUCCAUUACCAAAAUCGGUCUCACCGAGUUUGUGUAAUCGGUCGCACCGAGAUUACGUUAUGCCCUAACCCUAACGAUAUCGGUCCCACCGAGUUGACAUGUCGGUCCCACCGAAAAUCCUAACGGUCACAUUAUUUACUAAAUCGGUCCGACCGAGUUUCACGAUUCGGUCCCACCAAGUUUGGUAAGUUGUGUGUAACGGUUAGAUUUUGUGUGAAGGCUAUAUAUACCCCUCCACCCACUCUUCACUCGUGGAGUGAGCCAUCAGAACAUGCCUACACUUCCAACAUACAUUUUCUGAGAGAAAACCACCUACACUUGUGUUGAGGUCAAGAUAUUCCAUUCCUACCACAUAAAUCUUGAUCUCUAGCCUUCCCCAAGUUGCUUUCCACUCAAAUCUUCUUUCCACCAAAUCCAAAUCCUGUGAGAGGGAGUUGGGUGUUGGGAAGACUAUCAUUUGAAGCACAAGAGCAAGGAGUUCAUCAUCAACACACCAUUUGUUACUUCUUGGAGAGUGGUGUCUCCUAGAUUGGCUAGGUGUCACUUGGGAGCCUCCAUCAAGAUUGUGGAGUUGAACCAAGGAGUUUCUAAGGGCAAGGAGAUCGCCUACUUCGUGAAGAUCUACCCUAGUGAGGCAAGUCCUUCGUGGGCGACGGCCAUGGUGGGAUAGACAAGGUUGCUUCUUCGUGGACCCUUCGUGGGUGGAGCCCUCCGUGGACUCGCGCAACCGUUACCCUUCGUGGGUUGAAGUCUCCAUCAACGUGGAUGUACGAUAGCACCACCUAUCGGAACCACGGCUAAAAAAUCUCCGUGUCUUCAAAUUGCGUUUGCACACUCCAAUCCCAUCCCUUUACAUUCUUGCAAUUUGCAUGCUUUACUUUCCGCUGCCCAUAUACUCUUGUCAUGUUUGCUUGAUAUGUAUUAUGAAUGUUGAAACUUGUGCCAAACUCCACUUCAACUUAAAGAAAUUAAAAACUGCAACUUUUCUCACUUAGAGUCUAUUCACCCCCCUCUAGACACCUCUUCUCGAUCCUUUCAAUUUGUUACAAACUAAAAUCUGCUUGAUGCGCUUAAGAAAUUCUCACACCCUAUCAUGUCAUUUUAACUCCAUUCGCACGAUAUUUGAUCAAGUAUAAUAAAAGGGCAGCACUCUGCGCCGGUGCGCCGGCCCAAACUUUGGGCCGGUCCAACCCUGGCCGUUAGAUGCGCCCCCGCAUAGCCGUCGGAUCGCGCCCUUUCCCAGCGAUUGUCACCCUAGCACGUUUUCAGAUCUGAAGAAAGCACCGCUGCAGGUCAUGGCGGCCGCCCCCCGUCGCCCCGUCGCGCAGCGCGCCGUCGCCCUCACUCGUUUGCCCUCACCAUCGACGGUCGCCGCCAUGAUCGAUGGCAACGCUCGCCGUCGACGCUCGCAGACAAAAAAAAGUGUCAAAAAAUAUGCUCUGUGUUGCCGCCCCAGUUGAAUCAAUUGAAAUGCUUGGUUCCAGCAAAUUAAAGAUAAGGUUGUAGCAAAAGGUCGCUCAUCCAACAAAGAACGAAGAACCAACUCCGGUGAAAGCAUUUUUGGGUGCUGGUUCCAGCAACAAAAACGUGGUUGUAGCAAAAAAUUGAUGGUCUAGAGAAAAUGAACUCCGGUGGAAGCAUUUUUUUGCUGGUUCCAGCAAAAUGAUUCAUCGGUUCCAGCAAACCUGGUUGUGGCUGCAGCACCCCCCGCCCCUCCACACAAACUCGUCGUGGUGACACUGCAGCUCGCCACGGUUGCCCGUUCCAGCAAAAACAAGGUGCAGUUGCAGCUCGUGUCGUGUGCUCCAGCAAACUAAAAUGCCGGUGGUAGCAAAAAGAUGCAAAGUUGAGGGAUUCCAGCAAAUCAAAAACCCGGUGGUAGCAAAAAUUCACACUUGUUCCAGCAAAAAUACAAAACGACGCUAGUUUCAGCAAAGCCCAAAAACGCCGAUGGAAGCAGAAAUUUGUGCGGGUUCCAGCAUCUGGCCGCCAUGGUUGUAGCACUCGCCAGCAUCCCGCGCGGUUCCAGCUUUUCUGGGCCACGGUUGCAGCUCCGCCUGACCACGGUUCCAGCAUCCCUCCAGGUCGGUUGUAGCAUCCCGACGCCGCCGUGUCGCACUGGUGUAUGUCCAGCCAUGGCGCACUGCAGAUAGCAGCUUCCGGUGAGGCCGGUUUCAGCUCCGGCCAUGGCUGGUUGCAGCAUCACAGAUGCCGGUUGCAGACAGCGGCGAGCGCGUCAAGCAGAUGCAGCCCCAGCUCCCCGCCGACAAAAAGCAUCCACCGCUUCACAAACUCGCAUAUCUUUGCAACUUUUGCAGCUCCCCCAUGUCUCCCAGUGUGUCACACGACGCGGGAGCAGAGAGAGUGUCGGUGAGUAGUGGUUUUGACGGGAUUAAUGGACACGGUGCUCGCCAGCGGAAGCAAGGGAGUCGAGGAGAGAAAGCAGAGAGCGAGGCAAGGGGAUGGGGAUUUUCUCCGGCUGGC